AUUGAACGCUGGCGGCAUGCUUUACACAUGCAAGUCGAACGGGCUUAGGGGCUUGCUCCUAAGUUAGUGGCGAACGGUGAGUAAUACAUCGGAACGUACCGUGUAGUGGGGGAUAACGUAGCGAAAGUUACGCUAAUACCGCAUACGAUCUACGGAUGAAAGUGGGGGACCUUCGGGCCUCACGCUAUACGAGCGGCCGAUGUCUGAUUAGCUAGUUGGUGAGGUAAAGGCUCACCAAGGCAACGAUCAGUAGCGGGUCUGAGAGGAUGAUCCGCCACACUGGGACUGAGACACGGCCCAGACUCCUACGGGAGGCAGCAGUGGGGAAUUUUGGACAAUGGGCGAAAGCCUGAUCCAGCCAUGCCGCGUGUCUGAAGAAGGCCUUCGGGUUGUAAAGGACUUUGUCAGGGAGGCAAAACUUAGAGGUUAAUAACCUUUGAGGUUGAGAGUACCUGAGAAUAAGACACCGGCUAACUACGUGCCAGCAGCCGCGGUAAU
This 498-nucleotide ribosomal RNA is filed under the name uncultured bacterium. RNAcentral describes it as "bacterial SSU rRNA". It matches the Rfam family "Bacterial small subunit ribosomal RNA", at positions 30 to 524 of the family's 1533-position model. The record is from RNAcentral.